Long non-coding RNA from Sorghum bicolor (sorghum), 695 nucleotides. RefSeq lists it as uncharacterized. The record is from RefSeq and is a predicted model, not a curated record. NCBI's taxonomy places the organism in Eukaryota, Viridiplantae, Streptophyta, Magnoliopsida, Poales, Poaceae. The transcript is spliced from 4 exons.
GUCCCAACGCCAAGCACCAGGAAACAGAGGGAGAGAGGAAAAGGAGAGGAGAGGAGAAGAAGAAGAGGAGAGGAGAAGAAGGAGGAGGACGCCCAGCCCUUGCUGGAGGAUGACACCAGUGAUGAGCUGCUGCUCCCCACGCCCUCAGCCUUGCCAAAGAUGGUGAAGACAGCCCCAAGCUUCAUCUUCUUCAAGCUUAAGCCAUGGAGGAGUCCCCAUCUCGAUCUCCUUCCUUGCUGUGUUCCUGGCUGAACUACUCCUACUGGAGCAUCCCAAGACCGUGGUGAGCACAUCCCAAAAGCCCAUCUCCAUCUUCCCCAUCUCCCCCUCCCUUUACUGCAGAAAGCAGCAACCCUGCUCCAGUGUCCAAUGGUCUUCCAUGAAGAUUGGUCUUCCCCACCUCUUCCUGCUUCCCUAGGGUUUGUGGGUGACCAUGAUUUUCUUGGGGAAGAAAUCAAGGCAACUUAGAAGAUGAAAUAGGUGUUUUCGUCAACUACAAAGUUGUAGAGGACCUUCAGAUCUACUAGCUCGUGAAAUAUCAUGAUUUUAUCCCAUCAGGUCUUGUCUAUGCUUUGGACAGAGAUGUCUUCAUGGGGUUAAUUGACCUUGUUAACUAUGAAAUCAUCUUAAGAUGAUAAUAAUAAAGUUGUAGGUACGCUAGAUGAACCACGUGAAGGGCAUGACGGUGGACCUAU